GACGAACGCUGGCGGCGUGCUUAACACAUGCAAGUCGAACGCUGAAGGCCUGGCUUUUGUUGGGUUGGAUGAGUGGCGAACGGGUGAGUAACACGUGAGUAACCUGCCCUCUUCUUUGGGAUAACGCCCGGAAACGGGUGCUAAUACUGGAUAUUCACUGAUCUUCGCAUGGGGGUUGGUGGAAAGGUUUGUUCUGGUGGGGGAUGGGCUCGCGGCCUAUCAGCUUGUUGGUGGGGUGAUGGCCUACCAAGGCUUUGACGGGUAGCCGGCCUGAGAGGGUGACCGGUCACAUUGGGACUGAGAUACGGCCCAGACUCCUACGGGAGGCAGCAGUGGGGAAUAGUGCACAAUGGGCGAAAGCCUGAUGCAGCGACGCCGCGUGAGGGAUGGAGGCCUUCGGGUUGUAAACCUCUUUCGCUCAUGGUCAAGCCGCAACUGUGGGUUGUGGUGAGGGUAGUGGGUAAAGAAGCGCCGGCUAACUACGUG
RNAcentral lists this ribosomal RNA (486 nucleotides) under uncultured bacterium. RNAcentral's name for it is "partial 16S ribosomal RNA". It matches the Rfam family "Bacterial small subunit ribosomal RNA", at positions 28 to 507 of the family's 1533-position model. The record is from RNAcentral.